CCACUCUGUCUCGGAUCCUGGCA
Molecule: microRNA, 23 nt
Filed under: Bos taurus (domestic cattle)
Lineage: Eukaryota; Metazoa; Chordata; Mammalia; Artiodactyla; Bovidae
Description: bta-miR-2461-5p
Source: miRBase by way of RNAcentral